This 301-nucleotide ribosomal RNA is filed under the name uncultured bacterium. RNAcentral describes it as "partial 16S ribosomal RNA". It matches the Rfam family "Bacterial small subunit ribosomal RNA", at positions 509 to 809 of the family's 1533-position model. The record is from RNAcentral.
CAGUCGCCGCGGGAAGACAGAGGAUGCAAGCGUUAUCCGGAAUGAUUGGGCGUAAAGCGUCUGUAGGUGGCUUUUCAAGUCCGCCAUCAAAUCCCAAGGCUCAACCCUGGACAGGCGGUGGAAAAUACCAAGCUGGAGUACGGUAGGGGCAGAGGGAAUUUCCGGUGAAGCGGUGAAAUGCGUUGAGAUUGGAAAGAACACCAACGGUGAAAGCACUCUGCUGGGCCGACACUGACACUGAGAGACGAAAGCUAGGGGAGCAAAUGGGAUUAGAUACCCCCGUAGUCCCUGUCUCUUAUAA